This 1063-nucleotide ribosomal RNA is filed under the name Arthrobacter gyeryongensis. RNAcentral describes it as "bacterial SSU rRNA". It matches the Rfam family "Bacterial small subunit ribosomal RNA", at positions 368 to 1441 of the family's 1533-position model. Lineage: Bacteria; Bacillati; Actinomycetota; Actinomycetes; Micrococcales; Micrococcaceae. The record is from RNAcentral.
ACAAUGGGCGCAAGCCUGAUGCAGCGACGCCGCGUGAGGGAUGACGGCCUUCGGGUUGUAAACCUCUUUCAGUAGGGAAGAAGCGAAAGUGACGGUACCUGCAGAAGAAGCGCCGGCUAACUACGUGCCAGCAGCCGCGGUAAUACGUAGGGCGCAAGCGUUAUCCGGAAUUAUUGGGCGUAAAGAGCUCGUAGGCGGUUUGUCGCGUCUGCUGUGAAAGACCGGGGCUCAACUCCGGUUCUGCAGUGGGUACGGGCAGACUAGAGUGAUGUAGGGGAGACUGGAAUUCCUGGUGUAGCGGUGAAAUGCGCAGAUAUCAGGAGGAACACCGAUGGCGAAGGCAGGUCUCUGGGCAUUAACUGACGCUGAGGAGCGAAAGCAUGGGGAGCGAACAGGAUUAGAUACCCUGGUAGUCCAUGCCGUAAACGUUGGGCACUAGGUGUGGGGGACAUUCCACGUUUUCCGCGCCGUAGCUAACGCAUUAAGUGCCCCGCCUGGGGAGUACGGCCGCAAGGCUAAAACUCAAAGGAAUUGACGGGGGCCCGCACAAGCGGCGGAGCAUGCGGAUUAAUUCGAUGCAACGCGAAGAACCUUACCAAGGCUUGACAUGAACCGGUAAUACCUGGAAACAGGUGCCCCGCUUGCGGUCGGUUUACAGGUGGUGCAUGGUUGUCGUCAGCUCGUGUCGUGAGAUGUUGGGUUAAGUCCCGCAACGAGCGCAACCCUCGUUCUAUGUUGCCAGCGCGUUAUGGCGGGGACUCAUAGGAGACUGCCGGGGUCAACUCGGAGGAAGGUGGGGACGACGUCAAAUCAUCAUGCCCCUUAUGUCUUGGGCUUCACGCAUGCUACAAUGGCCGGUACAAAGGGUUGCGAUACUGUGAGGUGGAGCUAAUCCCAAAAAGCCGGUCUCAGUUCGGAUUGGGGUCUGCAACUCGACCCCAUGAAGUCGGAGUCGCUAGUAAUCGCAGAUCAGCAACGCUGCGGUGAAUACGUUCCCGGGCCUUGUACACACCGCCCGUCAAGUCACGAAAGUUGGUAACACCCGAAGCCGGUGGCCUAACCC